GCCUGGGUGGCUCAGUCGGUUAAGCGUCCGACUUUAGCUCAGGUCACGAUCUCGCGGUCCGUGAGUUCGAGCCCCGCCUCGGGCU
This 85-nucleotide transfer RNA is filed under the name Felis catus (domestic cat). It matches the Rfam family "tRNA". From Rfam's summary of the family: Transfer RNA (tRNA) molecules are approximately 80 nucleotides in length. Their secondary structure includes four short double-helical elements and three loops (D, anti-codon, and T loops). Further hydrogen bonds mediate the characteristic L-shaped molecular structure. tRNAs have two regions of fundamental functional importance: the anti-codon, which is responsible for specific mRNA codon recognition, and the 3' end, to which the tRNAs corresponding amino acid is attached (by aminoacyl-tRNA synthetases). tRNAs cope with the degeneracy of the genetic code in two manners: having more than one tRNA (with a specific anti-codon) for a particular amino acid; and 'wobble' base-pairing, i.e. permitting non-standard base-pairing at the 3rd anti-codon position. The record is from Rfam by way of RNAcentral. Lineage: Eukaryota; Metazoa; Chordata; Mammalia; Carnivora; Felidae.